Non-coding RNA from Salmo salar (Atlantic salmon), 2145 nucleotides. Lineage: Eukaryota; Metazoa; Chordata; Actinopteri; Salmoniformes; Salmonidae. The record is from RefSeq and is a predicted model, not a curated record.
ACCUGGUGGAAUCUCCCCUGUCCGUCCCUCCUCAACGGCCUCCUCUUCCUCCAGAAGCCUGGGCCCUGGAGUUGGAGAGGGCUCUCUCAAAGCAGACUGACAGAUUCCUCCACCAGGUGCAGACAUUUGAAGAGCUCCUGAGGAGAGGGAAACUCAAACCGUUUGAGCAGAUGGAGGGAGUUGGAGGGCCGUAUAUUCCAGUGUGGGAUGCGCUUGGAGGAGCUCAAAGAGCAGCUGGAGCAGACUGAACAGGACUGACCCACCUCAGAGGCCCCUCCCACUCUACCGCCUUACCCCACCUCCUACUCCAUGCCAGCAGGGGGCAGCAAGCACAUGCCACUCCCUGAGUUACCAGUUUCAGGGAGGUGCCCAGACUGCUAGACCUGGAUCUGACAGAGGGAGACCAUGACUCUCCUGAUGCAGGAGAAGAAGCCACACAUGCAGGCGGUGAGGGGACAAGAGAGGGACCACACCCAGGGACCAGGAGGGAGGAGGGAGGAGGGCCACACAAGUCUCCCUCAGAGACAGCCAAUGCUAGGUCAGAAGGACGCUACAUUCAUCCCAAUGGCAAGACCAAGGACCAGCAAAUCAGUUCUUUGUUCCCCUAAGGACCUCAGCCAAUCCACUGCAUUUCAUGGCUCGCCUGCCAAUGACAGCAAGAGGUCAGAGGUCAGGAAGUCUUGUGGCAGCAGCCUCACCAGUCUGGGGGAGAGUACUGCGUCAGAGAGGAGGGGCUCCAAACUGCAGCCUGGGACCAGGAGAGUGUCAUCUCAGGUCAAUUACUUGAGAGACUGUAUCAAGCUUCCAUUACAUUUUUGACUGCUUAUUCACCUAUCUGGUGUCUGCUGUGAAAGACACAGUCAUGACUGAAAACACAAUGUAAUUGCAUCUAACUUGUUUCCAAAACAUGUUCAACCAACAAAGAAAUAUCUGAAUUUUUACUUUUUAAUAAUUUAACUGACACUCUUAUCCAUAGCUAGGUGGGACAACCACAUAUCAUAGGCAUAGUAAGUACAUUUUUCCUCAAUAAAGUAGCUAUCAGCAAAGUCAGAGCUAGUAAGUGGGGGAAAAGUGUAUAGGUCUAUGCAUAUGAAUAAUAAUGUUGAAUAAUAAGAAUGUUGUUCAUUUAUCUUGACAAUUCAGCAAUAUCUUCUAAACCAGCAAGAGUAACUUGUCUCUCAAACCCUCUGUGUGGAAUAGGACAGGAUCAUCUCACCAGAGAUGUGGGCUCUGAGAGCAGUCACCUGACUCCUGCAGCACCCAGUCCCUUCCACCAGAUGGCCACAGUGAGGUGAGCUACUCUCCUACUCCUUCCCUCUCUCCAGUCAGUGACUUGGCUGUAAUUCUCACGGAACCUCACAUCACAUUCCUCACACUCUCUCUCUCACACACACACACAGCUCUGUACCUUGCCCUUACAUUGUCCCUAGUUGCCUAUCUAAACUCCUUCCCUGUUUUGUUCCUAAUUAUAGUUGCCUAAAUCAAAUCAAAUUGUAUUUGUCACGUGUGGCGAAUACAACAGGUGUAGUAGACCUUACAGUGAAAUGCGUACUUACAUGCCCUUAACCAACAAUGCCGUUUUAAGAAAAAUAAGUGUUAAGAAAGUAUUUACUUUCUAUGGAGGAACUUUGAACGUCUUUGAACUUCAGAGUUGGUUUAACGUUGGACCGUAGCUCAGAUGAGCAGUAGAAUUAAAAACAUGUCUUACCUUUUUGUAGCUCAUAAAUCCAAUGAUAACGUGAUAACUAUGGUAUCCUUAACUAGCAUUGAAAAAAGUUAAUACAUUCUUUUAAACAUCUCUCCCUAAUUUUUGAAUCAUGCUUGUAACGUUGUCAGGAGGCUACAGUAAUCUAUGUAACGUUGUCAGGAGGCUACAGUAACCUAUGUAACGUUGUCAGGAGGCUACAGUAACCUAUGUAACGUUGUCAGGAGGCUACAGUAACCUAUGUAACGUUGUCAGGAGGCUACAGUAGCCUAUGUAACGUUGUCAGGAGGCUACAGUAAUCUAUGUAACGUUGUCAGGAGGCUACAGUAACCUAUGUAACGUUGUCAGGAGGCUACAGUAACCUAUGUAACGUUGUCAGGAGGCUACAGUAAGCUACGUAACGUUGUCAGGAGGCUACAGUAACCUAUGUAACGUUGUCA